This 253-nucleotide ribosomal RNA is filed under the name uncultured bacterium. RNAcentral's name for it is "partial 16S ribosomal RNA". It matches the Rfam family "Bacterial small subunit ribosomal RNA", at positions 524 to 776 of the family's 1533-position model. The record is from RNAcentral.
UACGGAGGAUCCAAGCGUUAUCCGGAAUCAUUGGGCUUAAAGGGUCCGUAGGCGGUCUUAUAAGUCAGUGGUGAAAUCUCUCCGCUCAACGGGGAAACGGCCAUUGAUACUGUAAGACUUGAAUUAUUGGGAAGUAACUAGAAUAUGUAGUGUAGCGGUGAAAUGCUUAGAUAUUACAUGGAAUACCGAUUGCGAAGGCAGGUUACUAUCAAUACAUUGACGCUGAUGGACGAAAGCGUGGGGAGCGAACAGG